Molecule: unclassified non-coding RNA, 1435 nt
Filed under: uncultured Neocallimastigales
Lineage: Eukaryota; Fungi; Neocallimastigomycota; Neocallimastigomycetes; Neocallimastigales
Description: partial contains small subunit ribosomal RNA, internal transcribed spacer 1, 5.8S ribosomal RNA, internal transcribed spacer 2, and large subunit ribosomal RNA
Rfam family: Eukaryotic large subunit ribosomal RNA (bases 658-1435)
Source: RNAcentral
UUUCCGUAGGUGAACCUGCGGAAGGAUCAUUAAAAAAUUGGACUCCAUUGGUGAGUUCAUUAAUAAUCCCUACCCUUUGUGAAUUUGUUUGUUUGAAUAAUUUUUUUUCCAAAAAAAAUUAUUGAAUGUCUUUCCUUGUUUUGGUGGAGCUUGUAAAGUGAAACCAGGCAGGGGAAUGGCAAACAAUAAUUAUUUUUGAAAAAGACCUUUUUUUAAAAUUAAACUUUUUGUAUUCAUUUGUCUAAAAUUAAUUUUUAUAAUAUAAGAACAACUUUUGACAAUGGAUCUCUUGGUUCUCGCAACGAUGAAGAACGCAGCAAAAUGCGAUAAGUAGUGUGAAUUGCAGAAUACGUGAAUCAUCGAAUCUUCGAACGCAUAUUGCACUUUUUUAGUUUACUAAAAAGUAUGUCUGUUUGAGUAUCAGUAAAAUAUUCUCAUAAAAAACAUUGUUUUUUUUAUGGUUAUGAGUGUUUUACAACGAUAACAAGUUGUUUCACUUUAAAUUCUUUGUUAUCAAAAAAAUCAUUAAAGCUAAUUUUAAAGAUUUUUUAAAAUUGGAUAAAAUUUUCCCGUAAAAGGAAUAACCUAAACAAUUUAAAAAAUUAAAAUUGGUUUGAUUUUUUUUGAAACCCAAAGGAAAAAAAAACGAAAUUAACUUGAUCUCAAAUCAGAUAAGAGUACCCGCUGAACUUAAGCAUAUCAAUAAGCGGAGGAAAAGAAACUAACUAGGAUUCCUCAGUAACGGCGAGUGAAGCGGGAAGAGCUCAAAUUUGAAAUCUUCAAGGUUUUACCUUGACGAAUUGUAGUUUAAAGAAGUGUUUUCUGUUGGAGUUUUGGUAAAAGUUCUUUGGAAAAGGACAUCAUAGAGGGUGAGAAUCCCGUAUUUGACCAUUAUCUCCAGCUUUGUGAUACACUUUCAAAGAGUCGGAUUGUUUGGGAAUGCAGUCCAAAAUGGGUGGUAAAUUUCAUCUAAAGCUAAAUACUGGCGAGAGACUGAUAGCGAACAAGUACCGUGAGGGAAAGAUGAAAAGAACUUUGAAAAGAGAGUUAAACAGUACGUGAAAUUGUCAAAAGGGAAGCGUUUGACACCAGUGUUGUUUUCUCGAAAAUCAAUUAAAAAAGGCCGGAUUUUGUGUUGUAUUGACUUUAUCAGCUUUCUGCACUCUUUUCUUGUCUUUUUUAAUGCACUUUUCGUUUAACAAGUCAACCUCAAUUUCUUUUGUUGUAAAAGGGUCAUUGGAAGGUGGCUUUCUUUUCGGAGAAAGUGUUUAUAGCCUUUGGCCUCUGCAAUCGGAGAGAUUGAGGUCUGCAGCGUAGAUCCUUCGGGUUAGAUACAUUUGUGCUAAGUUAUAGCCUUUCAUAGACAACUUGUUGACUAUGAUCAGUCAUGUAGCUUACUCGCUUAUGCUAUUUUACCUACGCUUAGGAUGUUGAG